RNAcentral lists this ribosomal RNA (301 nucleotides) under uncultured bacterium. RNAcentral's name for it is "partial 16S ribosomal RNA". It matches the Rfam family "Bacterial small subunit ribosomal RNA", at positions 509 to 807 of the family's 1533-position model. The record is from RNAcentral.
CAGCAGCCACGGGAAUACGGAGGGUGCGAGCGUUAAUCGGAAUAACUGGGCGUAAAGGGCACGCAGGCGGUGACUUAAGUGAGGUGUGAAAGCCCCGGGCUUAACCUGGGAAUUGCAUUUCAUACUGGGUCGCUAGAGUACUUUAGGGAGGGGUAGAAUUCCACGUGUAGCGGUGAAAUGCGUAGAGAUGUGGAGGAAUACCGAAGGCGAAGGCAGCCCCUUGGGAAUGUACUGACGCUCAUGUGCGAAAGCGUGGGGAGCAAACAGGAUUAGAUACCCGUGUAGUCCCUGUCUCUUAUAC